AAUAGAUACCCUGGUAGUCCACGCCGUAAACGGUGGGCACUAGGUGUGGGCGACAUUCCACGUCGUCCGUGCCGCAGCUAACGCAUUAAGUGCCCCCGCCUGGGGGAGUACGGCCGCAAGGCUAAAACUCAAAGGAAUUGACGGGGACCCGCACAAGCGGCGGAGCAUGUGGCUUAAUUCGACGCAACGCGAAGAACCUUACCAAGGCUUGACAUACACCGGAAACGUCCAGAGAUGGGCGCCCCCUUGUGGUCGGUGUACAGGUGGUGCAUGGCUGUCGUCAGCUCGUGUCGUGAGAUGUUGGGUUAAGUCCCGCAACGAGCGCAACCCUUGUCCCGUGUUGCCAGCAGGCCCUUGUGGUGCUGGGGACUCACGGGAGACCGCCGGGGUCAACUCGGAGGAAGGUGGGGACGACGUCAAGUCAUCAUGCCCCUUAUGUCUUGGGCUGCACACGUGCUACAAUGGCCGGUACAAUGAGCUGCGAUACCGCGAGGUGGAGCGAAUCUCAAAAAGCCGGUCUCAGUUCGGAUUGGGGU
Molecule: ribosomal RNA, 536 nt
Filed under: uncultured bacterium
Lineage: Bacteria
Description: bacterial SSU rRNA
Rfam family: Bacterial small subunit ribosomal RNA
Source: RNAcentral